Oryza brachyantha (malo sina) is the source of this 2835-nucleotide RNA transcript. RefSeq lists it as uncharacterized. The record is from RefSeq and is a predicted model, not a curated record. The transcript has 3 exons. NCBI's taxonomy places the organism in Eukaryota, Viridiplantae, Streptophyta, Magnoliopsida, Poales, Poaceae.
AAUACCAGAUCUCGUCGCCGUCGACGUCGCGCGAUGGACCCGAGCCGGCCGCUGCUGGGGCGCGGCGCCCUCAUCACCUCCUCCGCCCACGUCGCCGCCGCCCUCUUGCUCGUCGCCUUCCUCUUCCUCACCCUCUGCGGCCUCCCUAUCUCCCUCUCCCCUCCCGCCGCUUUGACGUCCACGUCCCACCAGGAGCAGGACCAGGGGAGCUGCGACACCACCUCCACGCUCGACUGCGCCGACCCGCAGCUCUUCCACCUCAUGAUGCGCAGAGUCAUCGACGCCUUCCCGGACGUCCAUUUCAACCGCUUCGGCCGCCCCGUCCCCGGCGACCCGCCCUCCUCCUCCUGCGACAUGGCAUGGCGCGCCCGAUCCACCGCCUCCGCCAACUACAAGGACUACCGCCGCUUCUCCGUCGCCCGUGACCCCGUCACCUGCGCCUACUCCGUUACCUCCAUCGGGGAAUACCACUCUGGCCCCCUCGCCCGCAAGCCCCGCCGCGGCGCCACCAACGCUACCGCCCCUCCGCCCCCGCCCGCGCUCUCACGCUCCCAGUUCGCCGCGGGCAAGUACCUCGCCUACCUUGGCGGCGGCGACCGCUGCAAGCCCAUGCCACAUUAUCUGCGUAGCCUCCUCUGCGCCCUCGCCGAGGCCCGCUACCUCAACCGCACCCUCGUCGUCGAUCUCAGCCUUUGCCUUGCCGCCUCCUACGCCGGUGGCAUGCCCGAGGAGGGCAAGCGCCUCGCCUUCUACAUUGACAUCGAGCACCUACAAUCCAUGGUCGGGAUUGUUGAACACAAGCAGUUUUGGGAGGACUGGGACAGGUGGGGAGCGCAGGGUCAGCUUGGUGUCCGCAUCAUCGAGGAUACCAGGGUUGCGCCCAUCAAGUUCUCCAAGGCAAGGGAUCCCCUGAUCGUUAGGAAAUUUGGGGAUGUGGAGCCAGGGAAUUACUGGUACAAUGUGUGCGAGGGCGAGGCUGAGCGAAUGCUCCGUCCACCACAGGGGGCAAUACGCUGGGCACCAAGCCUGAUGCACAUUGUCGAUGGUAUCAUAUCAAGGAUGCAAGGGGAUUUCGACUCUGUUCAUGUUGGUGGCGAUGGUGAGAACCUCAGAGGAAGGAUUGAGGAGAAUGUCAAUGGAGGCAGGCAGGUGUACGUUGCGGGAGAGGGCAUCAACAUCUUGGUUGAUGUGCUGAAGUUGAAGUACAGCAAUGUGCAUUACCUUGAUGGGUUUGAGGAACUAUGGGAGACAGAUAGCAAGUGGUUCCUGGAGAUGAAGAGGCUCAAUGGUGGGGUUCCUGUGGAGUUUGAUGGGUACAUGCGUGAACUUGUUGACAAAGAGGUCUUCCUCAAGGGGAAGAAGAAGUUUGAAGUCUUUGGCUGAUCUACUCUGAUAUAAGGUGUUGAAGAACAUGCUCUAUUCCUGCUUGAUGGCGGCGGCAGCAAUCCUCUGCAUGUGACCCCUUGCAGCUUCUAUGGUGCCAAUUGCAAUCUCCUCCUCCCAUAACCUGAUCCAGUCCACCGACACCCUGCUCCCCAUCCUCGGUUCGUCCUCCCCUGCAUUGAAGGGUGACAUUAGUUUCAAGGUUGCACCUGGCAACGUGAAUAGGUAGCAAGGAACCAUUCUGCUCUUGAUCUCUGUAAUUUCAGGAAGAAAAGAAAACAUCUGGAUGCUGGAAUUUCAGGGGAGACCUUCAGGUUAUUACUAUUAUUUUUUAAAUAUAUCAUUUCCUAAAUUGAUGUCUAUAUUUGUUACUGGAAUGUGGGCACAUUGGUCCAAUAGUAGUAUGUUCUUUUCACAUAAAUUAGAGUUCAUAAAGGUGGUUUGAUAUAUAGGUGUCACAAUUAUUUUUUCUUUUAAAAAUAGGAGAGAGUUGGCGGUAGGAUAGGUGACAGAUUCAUUACCAUCACUACUCAUUUUUAUAGAAGUAUAGAUAUAGAAGCCAUGCAAACUCACUUAUAGUCCCUAAAAGACUAUUAAGAUUUGGGUAAAAUUGAGAGAGUAACGACUGAUGGUCUUUUGAAACCUGCAACGGACCAAAAUAUCUACUUGAAUGUUGUGGUUUAUCAGAUGAAUAGUAGUAGUCUUUAGAAUUUCUGGAUAUCUUGAACUUUGUAUAUUACAUAAUUACACUGAUUGUUGCCAAUUGCCAUCUGCUGUGCUGAAUCAUACUAAAAACAUAAGCCAUUUUGUUGGUCACUUUAGGAAAUGAAUACCAUUCUAACUAAUUCUUUUGAUCAGUUUUACCUUCAUUAUAUUAAUUAAUUGAGAAUAUAAGACAACGCCCAACUCUAACAUCUUAUUUUCUGAAAAAUAUAUGCAACAGCACCCUCAUAGAGUUAAUAUGAAGAUCCUGUUGUGCUAAUUGCGUUACAUGUUAUUUUUUGCCUUUAUAUAUGUCAAGGGUCAUUAAUCAAACAAAGUGUAUUGUCUACUCCCUGAAAGAUCUGCCGGACCAUAUUUGCUCCCCUAGUCCUCAUUAAUUCGAAUCAUUGUUUUGAAGUCAGAGCUUGCCAUAUUGGAUCAUCUAGACAGACAUAGCUUAGAUGUCACAGAAAAAUAUCCUACAUUUCGUAAAUAUCAACAGCUAUCUGGGCUUGUUUUGGAUUUCCUGAUUUUUCUGCCACAUAGAUUUCCUGAUUCCCUGUCUCAUGAUUCAUUCCAAGAACCAACUAUUUUGGGCUUGCUUUUGCUUAAGUAUAGAUUUUUACCGAACUAAUGCAUGUUAACACAAGUUACCAAUAUUUGAAAUUCACCCCUAAGCUAUAUUUAUUAGCUAGGUCUUUAUUUAAAAUUGAUGAUAUGAUGAUAUUAAAGCAAAUGGAGUAUAACAUG